CUCUACUCAUUCAUUCACCCUUUCACUGCUUCAGGAAGUAUUUGUUGCGCCCUUGGGUACUCCAGGCAGGGCGCUAACCUAGCCCUAGGAGAGAGAAUGACGAACACGAGAGACGUGGUGUUUGUUCCCCAACCCUAUUUUACUUUUUCGUAGGCGAGGCAUUCAGAUUUAGAGAAGCAGGAAAUGUAUCGACCCAGGUGGGGCACGGAGGAAGGGCGCCGAGAGGCUGGCUGGUCAGGGCAGGCUCCCCGGAGGCAGCGGCGGGGCCGGGGCCGCCACAAGGGAGGGUCUCCGGCAGAGCGGAACCGGGCUGGGAGCGAGCCUUAGGGCGGGGGCGGCCGGCGAGUUAGGGUUAGGGCGAGAGGAUUCGCCUUCCCGGCGGCAGAGGGCGCCUGGCGCUGCGGUCCGGCGCGCCGGAGCCGCCCGCGCGGACGCCGAGAGAAGAGGCGAGGCGGGGAGCUCGAGCGGCGGCCACUGCCACGUCUUCCCGGCAGUGGCGGCGGCGACGCGGGAGGAGGAAUAACCCAAGUCACCUUUCCUGGAAAUCAGUUUGCUGAAACUAUUGAAACAGCAGUUCUUGAAGAAAAGGAGAUUCUGCACCUUGACCGGAGGAGCGUGACCCUUCCUUCAAAUCCCUCUCCGGACGCACCCUCCUAGCAUCCCCUAG
Molecule: long non-coding RNA, 667 nt
Organism: Orcinus orca (killer whale)
Lineage: Eukaryota; Metazoa; Chordata; Mammalia; Artiodactyla; Delphinidae
Exons: 3
Source: RefSeq, a predicted model, not a curated record